Molecule: unclassified non-coding RNA, 580 nt
Filed under: Hevea brasiliensis (rubber tree)
Lineage: Eukaryota; Viridiplantae; Streptophyta; Magnoliopsida; Malpighiales; Euphorbiaceae
Source: RNAcentral
UUGGGGAAACUAGUUAAAUCUGGGCCAUUGAUGAAUUUUACACAUCUAAUGUCAAGAUAAAGAGGAAGAGCGAUGAGACAUAAGGAUUUAGCGGCUUAUAUAUUUGGAAGAAUAAUGUGGAAGGUGUAGCAUAACAUGGCUUGGAGGAUAUUUCAUAGGGGUUCGAUGGCCUAAUUAAUGUUAUUGAUAUUUGGGUCAAUAUUUUCUUUUUAAUUUUUACCAGCUAGACUUGAACUGAAAAAGAGAGUUCCGACUGUGCUAUAAAGAGAUAAUCCUUGGUUGAGUGUAAUAAAUGGACAACGUAUUGAAAGCAAAAUUUUACCAACUUUUACCUGGUUCUGUUUUUUUGGGAUGGAAAAUCAAUAAGAAAUUGCUAGGCAUAAAUUCUUGAGAGGCCAUCUCAGUUUUCCUGUUGCGUGUGAUGUUCAUAAUUAGAAUUUUAGAGCAUGGCUUACAUCCCCUGACAAGGAGAAGCAAGAAUAUUGGGUUACAUUCAGGAGUUAAAUUAUGGUAUUUGCUUUCUAUGAUCUUUGUUACAGGUUGUAUCUUCAAAAUAAAACAGAAUUUUUCUUUAAUGAUC